UGGCAUUUGGCGGUAACCCCUCUUCCUGACCUCCCUUCUCGUUUUUUCAUCGCCAUUCACCCGCGUCGUUGCUUCUCACCCUGCAUCCUCGUCGACGCGUCGCGCAGAACCGUUCGCGUAGCGCGCCUCACUCCUCCGUGCAUCCUUCCCUUCGGUUUAUCGGUGCGCACCAGCCCAGCCCAGCGCAGCCCCGCCCCGCCUUCGGACGCGCGCAUCUAUCUGCGGGACGGGCCGCCGUGAGCUGAGCAUACCACCAUGCACAGUGCUGUCACUUGCAUCAAGAGCCCGGGCGCGGCUCUCUUCACCGACACUGCCACCUGCCGCACCAUCACGUUGAGCCGGCCCGAUGCGUUGAACGCCAUGUCGUUGCCGAUGGUGCAGGACCUGCAUCGCCUGUACAUCACAGAGCCGCACCCGAACGAGGAUGCCGUGUACGUUGUGCGCGGUGACGGGCGGCGCAGCUUCUGUGCUGGUGGCGACCUGAAGGCCCUCACAGGACCCGAGAAAGACACGCACAACCCGCUGUUCUACCGCCUGGAGUACGAGGUGGACUCGCACAUUGCGGUGAUGCGGCGCACGCAGGUGACGAUGUGGGCGGGGCACGUGCUGGGGAGCGGCGUGGGCGUGUCGGUGCACAGCCGUUACCGCGUUGCGUGCGAGACGACGCGGUUCGCGAUGCCGGAGACGCAGAUCGGCGGCGCGAACGACGUUGCGACGAGCUGGGUGUUCUCGUCGCUGCCGAUAUGCGGGCUUGGCAUGUACCUUGCGAUCACGGGCAACACGCUGCAAGGCGCGGACGUGUUCCACGCGGGCCUGGCGACGCACUACAUCCCUGUGGAGAAGUUCGGCGCUGUGGAGGCUGCGCUGGCGGCGCUGCCGUCGUCGGAGGGCGUCGAGGAGUGCCUCCGAGGGUUCAGCGAGGACGUUGCUGUGCCGCCGUUCACGCUGGCGGAGAACGCGCCUGUGCUGGCGAAGGCGUUCGGCGCGAUCACUCCGUCGACGCACCUGCGCGACAUCAUGGAUGUGCUGCGCGCGGACGGCAGCGCGUUCGCUGCGAGCACGCUGAAGGUGAUGGAGCGCAACUCGCCGCUGGGCAUGACGCUUGCGCUGGAGAACAUGAAGCGGCAGCACACACCUGGGUGCAACACCGUGAUGGAGAGCUUCCGUGGCGACUACACGGCGAUUCAGACUUCCAUUUGUGUGGAUGAGCUGGCGAAGGGCGUGGAGGCGCUGUUUGUCACGAAGGAGAAGCGCCCGCAGUGGACGGUGGGGUCCGUGGACGAAGUCGAUGUGGAGCUCGUGAAGCAGCAGUUUGUUAUGACGGAGAGCACGGUGCCCUUGUAGGAAAGGCUCGUCUCACAUAUUCGCGGCUCUGUAGGCGUCGACCUUUCUUUGCCACGAGUGCUGUGCCGGCGCCUUGAUGCCGCAUUGUGCGUGUACACGUGUGGAGUGUGACUGUGGGCGUGUUGGCACUGCAGAAGGUAAAGGACGGUCUUGCUUACGGGGGACCUGCGGCCGGCUCGGCGUGUGCGUUUCCGUUUCAGCUUGCGGGCGCGAGGCCGCGGUUGUGGGGUGUUCACACGCUACCUCUUCUGUGCUUUUUUUUUUCGUAUUCGGUGCAUAUGGGCUAAGCCACCUCCGCACAGUCUACAGCUUAGUGUGUGUAUGCGCUUGGUUUUGUUUUCACGUCUUCGAGUUUAUUGGAUCGGUUGUGGCUGGGCUCUUGUUUCCGGAGAGGAUGCCCUCGCCGAGGGUUAAGGGCACCGCUUCCCACAGAGGGAUGAUGUGCGUCUCAUUUUUGUUCACCGGCUUCCGCUUGGCCUCUUCUGCGCUGUCGCUCACUUCCGCACCCUCUCCCCCAUCUCUCCUGUCCUCCUGCACCCUCCAGUUAUGCUUCGCGUGCGCGCACUGCGGUAGAGUGUGAAGGGUACGCGCAUGCGUGCGAGCCGAAGAGCUGGAGGGAAGGGGGAGCAAGUGAGAAGGAUGGCAGAUGAAGUGGGUAGGGCGCGAGGCGAGGAGUGCUAAGCGUCCAGGCGUCCUUUGUUUUUGUUUUUUACUUUGUGCUUGUGCUUUUCUUCUUUCCGCUAGGGCAUUCAUCCGCUAUACUUCUCCGCGUCAGACGCCGCCCUCGCCUUCUUUUCGUGUUUUGGAAUGCAGUCACGGACAUCUGCAUGCCACACAUCUCCGCGCGCACGAGCGCGCGCACAUAUAAAAUGAUCCGCACGACUGCUGGCGUGCAGGCUUGCGGUGUACUCUUUUCUCUCCGCCUUUUCUCAGGUCUUCCCCUCUUCCCCUCUUCCUGUCUUGCCUUCGAUGCAUCUUUCUCUUUUUGGGCCUCUCGUUUUAACUUGCUCUCUUUGUCUUUAUAUUUGUUUCUCUCCCCGGCUACUCCCCCUCUCGCUCCCUUGCUCGCACGGCGUCGAUGUCCUGGUGCCGUGGUGUGGCAGGUGGCCACGCCUGUUCAUCGGCCUCAGCAAAUAGCUUCCUCGCCUAUCCCUAGUUUUCCCCAUCUCGCUAUCCACGGCAGAACCACCACCUCCCUCCCCCUUACCGAUGUCUGCGGCGGUGGAGAGGUGGUAAAAUGAGGGGCAAAAAGGCAGAACAACAAAUGCGUACGUGGCACAAGGAUGAUGAUGUGGUGGUGGGUCUCGCACCGCGAGUGCAGCGCUGCGUCUCUCUCUCUCUGAAGCUUUUUAACCGACUUUUUCCUGUCACUUUUACGUCUUGUACUCUCUCGUUGUGCACGCAG
RNAcentral lists this unclassified non-coding RNA (2749 nucleotides) under Leishmania donovani. RNAcentral describes it as "gene:LdHU3.32.4930(CDS-product:3-hydroxyisobutyry l-coenzyme_a_hydrolase-like_protein)". Lineage: Eukaryota; Euglenozoa; Kinetoplastea; Trypanosomatida; Trypanosomatidae. The record is from RNAcentral.